CCUACGGGUGGCAGCAGUGAGGAAUCUUGGUCAAUGGACGAGAGUCUGAACCAGCCAAGUAGCGUGAAGGAUGACUGCCCUAUGGGUUUUAAACUUCUUUUAUAAAGGAAUAAAACGAGGCACGUGUGCCUUUUUGCAUGUACUUUAUGAAUAAGGAUCGGCUAACUCCGUGCCAGCAGCCGCGGUAAGACGGAGGAUCCGAGCGUUAUCCGGAUUUAUUGGGUUUAAAGGGAGCGUAGAUGGGUUGUUAAGUCAGAUGUGAAAGUUUGCGGCUCAACCGUAAAAUUGCAAUUGAUACUGGAAGACUUGAGUACAGAUGAGGAAGGCGGAAUUCGUGGUGUAGCGGUGAAAUGCUCAGAUAUCACGAAGAACCCCGAUUGCGAAGGCAGCUUACUAAUCUGUGACUGACAUUGAUGCUCGAAAGUGUGGGGAUCAAACAGGAUUAGAUACCCUGGUAGUC
RNAcentral lists this ribosomal RNA (460 nucleotides) under uncultured bacterium. RNAcentral's name for it is "partial 16S ribosomal RNA". It matches the Rfam family "Bacterial small subunit ribosomal RNA", at positions 338 to 795 of the family's 1533-position model. The record is from RNAcentral.